UACGUAGGUGGCAAGCGUUAUCCGGAAUUACUGGGCGUAAAGGGUGCGUAGGUGGUUUCUUAAGUCAGAGGUGAAAGGCUACGGCUCAACCGUAGUAAGCCUUUGAAACUGGGAAACUUGAGUGCAGGAGAGGAGAGUGGAAUUCCUAGUGUAGCGGUAAAAUGCGUAGAGAUCAGGAGGAACACCAGUGGCGAAGGCGGCUAUCUGAACAGUAACUGACGCUGAGGCGCGAAAGCGUGGGGAGCAAACAGGAUUAGAUACCCGGGUAGUCCCUGAGCGGG
RNAcentral lists this ribosomal RNA (281 nucleotides) under uncultured prokaryote. RNAcentral's name for it is "partial 16S ribosomal RNA". It matches the Rfam family "Bacterial small subunit ribosomal RNA", at positions 524 to 803 of the family's 1533-position model. The record is from RNAcentral.